This 84-nucleotide transfer RNA is filed under the name Ghiorsea sp. Its description in RNAcentral is "tRNA-Leu". It matches the Rfam family "tRNA". Rfam says of the family: Transfer RNA (tRNA) molecules are approximately 80 nucleotides in length. Their secondary structure includes four short double-helical elements and three loops (D, anti-codon, and T loops). The record is from RNAcentral. Lineage: Bacteria; Pseudomonadati; Pseudomonadota; Candidatius Mariprofundia; Mariprofundales.
GCCGGGAUGGCGGAACUGGUAGACGCAGGGGACUUAAAAUCCCCCGGUGGUGACACUGUGCCGGUUCGACUCCGGCUCUCGGUA